AUUUUAAACUUAUAGUACAAACAGUAAUAUGCAACAAAUACAUAGUGAAUGACAGUUGCAUAUAGAAUAUGAAACUUGGAAAACCUGGAUAGGUUACCUAUCCAGGAUGACGUUUCCAAGAGAAAUUCAGUAGAGAAUAUGUAUUAUUCACAAAUUGUGAAUAACAAGACAAUAACAGAAUUCAGUUUAUAUAGAAACUUGGACGAGAGUGAUCAUCCAAGUAAGUAUUCUCAAUAUAAAUCCUAUUGAGAAAAGUAAUGAUCACAUCAACAAAUGUGAAUAAAUGUUUAUAAAAUGGGACAUUUUACAUGUUCAAGGAUAAACGACUAAAACUAAUAAUUGUUAACUAACAAUUAAAUAAAGUUUUACCAAAUGAAAUCAUAAAUAUGGAAAUAAUUUGAGGAGUUACUUACAUGGGACGUGAUGUGGUAAUUAUAAUAAGGUCACGCGUACCAUGUGUUGAUCGCUUACUCUGGCCAAGUAAGUAGUGAACACAUGAUAGCAUGAGCUUCUUAUAAUGAGCGCAGUUAUGUCCGAUGUAGUAAGGUCAAGAUGAAUGAAAAUUUAAAGGAUCCUUAGGGUCAAGAAAUCUUAUGGGCAUACUCGUAUAAAUGGUUUUCGCGGGAACCAUAAAAACGACGUAUGGCGCACAUAGAAAUAAAUGACCCAAGGAAAUUCGUGACAUAAGUCAUUUCGGACGAAACAACCAUGGUAGACAAAAAGGGCAUUGUAAAACCAAAGUAUAAAUGACCCGCGGGGUCAUAGAAACAAAGGUAUUGCCCACAUGGGAAAAACGAUCAAAAACCAUGGUAGACAAAAAGGGCAUUGUAAAACCAAAGUAUAAAUGACCCGCGGGGUCAUAGAAACAAAGGUAUUGCCCACAUGGGAAAAACGAUCAAAGUCGUUGACUUUGGUCGUAGUAAAGAAAUGAUGAUGAUGAUGAUAAUCAUCAUUCAUAGUUUAUAAGACUGUCAAGGAUGGUCGAAUAAAGAAUAAAGGUUUGGUUGAAUAGAAGCGAUGGAUUUCGCUAAGACAACCAAACAAAUUAAAACGAAAUCUUAAUGUAUACCGGAAUGCUUGCACUAAUAAUGACUUCGGUAAAGUACCCGGUUGAUGGGUAAGGAUUUAAACACAUGCGUAAACCGAGAAACGGGAACACGAAUUUAAAGUCAAAAGACUCGGAUUAUGAGUUAUGACUGAAAGACCAUAAAAUUUCGCAAACAAAAAUUUUGAUAAUUAUAUUCAACUAUUCGAAGUCGAAUGGGUUGAAUAAAGAAUAAAGUUGAUUGUUUAUAAGUGAUGGAUUUCACAUUAAUAAGUCAAACAGGUUGAAUACAAUAUAACGCCGAAUGGCACAAAUGAGCGCUAGCCAGAUAAGGGUAGCGUUAAAUGCAAGAGAAUAAUGAGCCCGGUAAUGGGAUAUAACCAAAUAAGAAUAAAUUAUGGACUGUCAAUAUCCUGGUAGGGAUAAUUGACAAAAGUUAAAGAGAAGAUCCUAGAACUAAAACUUCGGUUUUAGUAAGAAAUAAUGUUUUUACAAACAUAGACUCUGAUAGGAAUUUAAAUAAUAAGUAUGAAAGAUACAAAUCUUGACACUGAUAGGUGCAAGACAAUAUAUUCGAAAAGUGAUAUUUUCGAAGAUGAAAAGGUUGAUAUAAAUUAAACAUGAUGUGACAUGAUCACGGUCAAGAGGUACAAUGUGAAGAAGAAUCACAUUAUAACCAAGCGAGCGGUAAAAAGAAACCGGACUAAUAAGUCUAGUUAGUGAAACCGGUUAAGGUCAAUAAUUCAAGUUAAGAAAUUUGGUUUGCUUGUAAGUGGUAAAUUCGGUAUAACUGAACCGAAUAAAUAAAUUUGAAAAUAAAAAGAUUUGUUGCUAAAAGUGAAAGAUUUCACUAAGGACCUUUAAACGGGUCAAAGUAACGGGUUCAUAAAGAAAUCCGAUAGUAUAUGAAAGCAUUGAAUAUCGCUAAGUUGAUUAAACUAGUGGAAAUAACGAGAUUACGUUAUUUCAAGUCGCAUCAUGUCAUAUAAGAUACGUAGAUGAUUAAUAACCAAAAGGAUAUUACCAUACUUUUCUGGUAAUACUAACAAUCGGUUAAAAUAUGAGAAAUGCUUAAUUGAUUAUCGAGAGCAAAUGCAUGGAGUGGAACUCGAUAAAUUAAGUAAGAAAAGGUUUCGGGGACGAAACCUCUUUAAGGGGGGUAGACUUGUAACACCCCGAAAACGAGUUUGGUAAUUAAACCCCGUUAAUACUAAAGACGGGGAAAGUACCGUUAGUGGUAAAAGUAAACUGUCAAAUAUUAGGAAUUUAUUUAAUAAUCCUAAUAUUUAUUUGAAGUGAAUAAAAAGCUUUUAAGAAAUAAAGUGAUAGAAGGCCCGAGUUAACGGGACCCGAAAUAAACUUAGUCAUAAAUAUUCUCGAACCCGCAAAGUUAACUAGGAAUAUUAAACCUAGUUAAUAAGUGGGGAAUAUUGUUAGAAAUAAGUAGGUUGUUCCCUACUUAAUUAACUAACCAAAUUAGAGGGGCCAAUAUUGUUAAAAUUGAAACUUAACUUUAAUUAAUUAAAUAAAACACACCAAACACCCCACAAGGAGGUGUCUGGUCGUACAAGAAGAACAGGGGGCGAUCCCCACACAUCAAAACCCUAAAUCUUCACCAAACUUGCAAAUUGAAGGCUCAAUCCAAGUCAAAAUCGAAAAUCAAGCAUAGAUUAUUGAUCCCCAUUGAAAGGGGAGUCAUAAGUUUGACUCUGACAAGCUAGGUAGGAGCUUGGAAAUGAACGGGUCAAAUGGAUACAAGUUCAAGUAUGAAGCUCGCAAGGAUGCAAGGAGUAGAUAUCCAAUGGAUACUCGCAUCGCUCUUAAUUAGCUAUUAUAAAGCAAGGUAUUAAACCGGGUUAGUAAGUUGAUCCGAGCCAGGUGAAUGUCGAGGGUCCCGGAUGAAGAUCGAGCAUCGAGCAAGAACCGAACACACAUUAAAUAAAGCUUCCGCAACGUUGUUUUGUCGUUAUUCUAAACGGUGAUUUAAAUCACAUUAUGUAUAUCACUUAAAUUGUAAAAGUUUUUAAUAAACCCGCAUUUUGUACAGUA
Molecule: long non-coding RNA, 3094 nt
Organism: Helianthus annuus (common sunflower)
Lineage: Eukaryota; Viridiplantae; Streptophyta; Magnoliopsida; Asterales; Asteraceae
Exons: 4
Source: RefSeq, a predicted model, not a curated record